ACUCGCCUCGCAUGAGGUCGGAAUUGCUAGUAAUCGCGGAUCAGCAUGCCGCGGUGAAUACGUUCUCGGGCCUUGUACACACCGCCCGUCACACCAUGGGAGUCGGUAACACCCGAAGUCUGUAGCCUGACGCAAGGAGGGCGCAGCCGAAGGUGGGAUUGAUGACUGGGGUGAAGUCGUAACAAGGUAAC
This 191-nucleotide ribosomal RNA is filed under the name uncultured bacterium. RNAcentral's name for it is "partial 16S ribosomal RNA". It matches the Rfam family "Bacterial small subunit ribosomal RNA", at positions 1310 to 1500 of the family's 1533-position model. The record is from RNAcentral.